This 2311-nucleotide long non-coding RNA is filed under the name Helianthus annuus (common sunflower). Its description in RNAcentral is "hypothetical non coding rna". Lineage: Eukaryota; Viridiplantae; Streptophyta; Magnoliopsida; Asterales; Asteraceae. The record is from RNAcentral.
UUUUGCUCUAAACUUUUUCAAAUACAUAUCUAAAUGAUAUCUCUCUAGUUCCGUUUAGAUCGAGUCAUCAAAUUAAAGAGAGAAUCAAGAUUAAAGAUCAAAGAGCAAAAUAGAAAAGUUAUGUAACAACUUCCCAUCUUUCUAAUCUUGUAUUGUUGUUGAUUUGUGAGCACUAUUAUUAUGAUUAAGAGUUACUUGUGAUCGCUACCUUGCUUAGUGAAACUCUUGUACGGAUGAUCUCUUUUGUUUAAGAGAAAUGAAUAGUGAAGCAACUCUUGACUGGAGAAUCAGGGAGAUGAUGUAGAGUGGAUUAGUUAACAUCCACUUGAACAACUAUAAAUCGGUUUUGUCAUUCUCUCUUUAAACUCUUUACUUACUUGAAUUAUGUUGUUGUUGGGUUUCAAACAAGUGACAAACCUUCGUCAUUAGAUUUUUAACCAAGCAAGUUCUAAGGUAAGCAUAUUCACCAUCCUCUAGUUUUCAACAUGUCCUUUAAGAGUAAAAUUGUGAUGAGUCAUAGUACAUUGUACCAAAUUAUAAUAGAUAAUGCAAGUCUUAAUGGUCAUAUUUGGAGAUCUUUCGGUAAUCACCGACGAAUUUCAUUAAAUAAUAGUUUUUAAGUUACAUGUUAGUAAUUGUCGAUUGAUUAGAAAUAAAUAUAAUAAAAUAAUUUUUUGUAGGUUUUUUGGAUCCAUAGGUACGUGAUCCAUGGUAAUAUGUUUAUGUCAACUUUUUUCUUUUGGAUUUUAUUGAAUCCAUAGGUGACUUGACUGUACUACUAGUGGUUUCUUUUGUCGAUGCAAGUUUGUUUUCUAGUAGUGUUACAUUUCUAGAGUGUAUGUAGGAUUCAAGACCCAUGGAUUGUUUUAGGAGUGUUUUAUAGUUUUAACAUUAUAUGGAGUGAGUUGUUCUUGAUAAAAAGCAUUGAAACAUUAUGACAUAAAAUUAUAGGCUUAAGUUCGCCAUUGGAAUCUCAUUCAGAUAAGAACUCGGAUUUUGAUCGUCAACACUUUCGGACGUAAACUAAAGCGUUGGCCAAAAUGUGAACUUGAUUAAUCUCGAUCGUUACAUGUCCAAACCAUAGAUCGAAAAACUCUAAGGAUCACCGAUCUUAAUAGGUCAUAUGAAUAUUAAGAGUCAUAGAUCUAUCUUAAUUAAUCAUGAUAUGCUUUGACACAUUGCAUUAUUUCCUAAUGAUUUAAUUGAAUUGUACUAGGUUGAAGGGGUAUUGUCCCAAAAACCUCGCGCAAGCGCAUUGGACCACACCACAACCCUGUCCCAAAACACCUUGAGUAAAGACCCCGCGCGGCUGCGCAGCAGUUCUAAACUAAAAUAAAAAUAAACAAUCUUCGAUGAUCGUGCGCCGGAGAAAGGACGGAGACAACGUUCAACUAACACCCUUGCGCGGGCUCGCGCAAAGGUCAAGUUAGACUUGAAGACAAGAUCCUAAACAUCUCCGCGCGCUGGGAAUCAAGACUUAAACAGAAGUGUUUGUUCUGUUACAACAGAAUGGACACGUGGAAAGGGCAAAAAGGAUUACAGCUGUAGAUCUUCUAGAAGGUUAUCAAUGCUCAUCGUACACAGCCAUUUAGUUACAACUGAAAGGUGACGUGGCAUAAUCCUGGACGCUCAUCUAAGUCACGAUGAUGGCACAAACUUGGAGAAGGAUCAACACAAACCCACUUUCCACGUGGCACAUCCCCAGCCGUCGAUCACACUAACUAUCUGUGUGCAUAGAUGCGACGUUAGUAAUUGAUGGAAAAGGGCAUAACCACCAACGGGAAAUACUUUCCGUUACCCUCUCUGUCACACUAGUUUCCCUCCAAAAACUGCUAUAAAUAGAAGGUUGCAGGUAUGAUCUCACAAGUUACAUUCACUUCACUUUUACUACUUCUUCUUAUCCAUCGAGAUCUAUACUUAUUCUGACGCCGAAGGGUGGUCAUGGAGAGAACCCCAUUCUCCCCGUGGCGAGUCUAACGGCUUUCUGUUUUGCAGGGAUCACCAGAGAAGAUGCUCAGUUAAACUGUUGGUGCAUAUUCUGUGACAACAGCUUAGAUUUGGUCUUUGGAUAUCUUAUAAUUAGUUAAACGAUAAACAAUUAGCGGGUUUAGCUUUGUAUUAGUGAAAUAAUAGAGUUUGGGCUAAACAAAACCCAUAUUGGGUCUAGGGGGGACGAAUUGGGCCUUGCCCAUGUAGGGAACCCUAGUCCAACUUACCUUGUGUUAUAUAAACAAGGUUAGGCUUUAGGGUUUAGGUUAAGAUCUUGAUUGAUUGUAAUCAGUUUGAUAGUUAACCAAUAAAGAUCCGGUUU